This 449-nucleotide ribosomal RNA is filed under the name uncultured bacterium. RNAcentral's name for it is "partial 16S ribosomal RNA". It matches the Rfam family "Bacterial small subunit ribosomal RNA", at positions 29 to 523 of the family's 1533-position model. The record is from RNAcentral.
AAUGAACGCUGGCGGCAGGCCUAACACAUGCAAGUCGAACGGAUCCUUCGGGAUUAGUGGCGGACGGGUGAGUAACGCGUGGGAACAUACCCAAAGGUACGGAAUAGCCUCGGGAAACUGGGAGUAAUACCGUAUGUGCUCGAAAGAGGAAAGAUUUAUCGCCUUUGGAUUGGCCCGCGUUGGAUUAGGUAGUCGGUGGGGUAAUGGCCAACCAAGCCGACGAUCCAUAGCUGGUUUGAGAGGAUGAUCAGCCACACUGGGACUGAGACACGGCCCAGACUCCUACGGGAGGCAGCAGUGGGGAAUCUUAGACAAUGGGGGAAACCCUGAUCUAGCCAUGCCGCGUGAUCGAUGAAGGCCUUAGGGUUGUAAAGAUCUUUCAGGUGGGAAGAUAAUGACUGUACCACCAGAAGAAGCCCCGGCUAACUCCGUGCCAGCCGCCGCAGUAA